RNAcentral lists this ribosomal RNA (402 nucleotides) under bacterium. RNAcentral's name for it is "partial 16S ribosomal RNA". It matches the Rfam family "Bacterial small subunit ribosomal RNA", at positions 355 to 776 of the family's 1533-position model. The record is from RNAcentral.
UGGGGAAUUUUGCACAAUGGGGGAAACCCUGAUGCAGCGACGCCGCGUGAUUUAGAGGGCCUUCGGGUUGUAAAAAUCUUUUCUAUGGGAAGAAAAUGACAGUACCAUAGGAAUAAGGACCGGCUAAUUACGUGCCAGCAGCCGCGGUAAUACGUAAGGUCCGAGCGUUGUCCGGAAUCAUUGGGCGUAAAGGGUACGUAGGCGGGUAAGCAAGUUAGAAGUGAAAUCCUAUAGCUCAACUAUAGUAAGCUUUUAAAACUGCUCAUCUUGAGGUAUGGAAGGGAAAGUGGAAUUCCUAGUGUAGCGGUGAAAUGCGCAGAUAUUAGGAGGAAUACCGGUGGCGAAGGCGACUUUCUGGCCAUAACCUGACGCUGAGGUACGAAAGCGUGGGUAGCAAACAGG